Non-coding RNA from Pelobates cultripes (western spadefoot toad), 549 nucleotides. Lineage: Eukaryota; Metazoa; Chordata; Amphibia; Anura; Pelobatidae. The record is from the annotation of a GenBank genome assembly.
AUCAAACAGAACUAAUUGACAGCUUCAUUAUCUGUAAGUGCAUCUCUUCUUUCCAUACUCCAUUAAAAAAUGUUUUUUUUUGUUUUGUUUUUUUAAAUACUACACUAUAUACUCAAUCAUGAUCUAGUUUCUCUUGUCCUAAAUGUCAUCUGGCUCUACUGCCAUCUUUCCUUACAAGAGACUCAAGACAUGAUAUUUUGUGUUUUAUUGAUUUGGUGUACUAAUAGUAAAACCAUGUUCGUGAAAAUGUAACUGAAGAUUCUUGUUCUCACCAAAGAAAAAAGUUACCUGCGCUCUUUUCACAUCCCUAUGUAUUUUUAAACAAAUGGAGGUUUUUAGUUACCUCUAAUGGCCAUGAGAGGGUAUGCCCACCUGCCACGUCAAGACAGACUUCUUAGGUGGGUCGUAACUCUAAACAUUCACCUUGCUUCCUUAAGCUUCUGGCAAAGAUAUCUCCAAUGAGACAGAAAGGGGUAUUUUUUAUAUACAUCCCUACAUGCUUAUUAACCCUUAACAGGGAACACAUGGGAUGGGAAGCAGCAUUGUAAC